RNAcentral lists this non-coding RNA (21 nucleotides) under Caenorhabditis elegans. Lineage: Eukaryota; Metazoa; Nematoda; Chromadorea; Rhabditida; Rhabditidae. The record is from RNAcentral.
UAAAUGUUUCCUGCGUGCCCA